GUGGCAAACCUGGUCUGGGCGCCACAUCACGGUUCUGUAAUUCGAUUUCCUCCACUGAAGCCUUCCUCUCUCGUGCUCACUCUCUCUCGUGUUCUUUUGUCCCGUGCUCCUCUCUCUCUCUCUCUGUACUCCUCUCUAUUGCGCUCCUCUCUGUUAUUCUAGGGCAAAGUCUUCCCUUGCAAACUCCAGUCGACGUCGAAGAGAAGACUGUCCCUGCAUCCAGAUCUGCGGCCAUGCCACGGUAAGUUUUUGACCAAAACCUGGUUUUUGGUUCCCCAGUACAGUGACGGGGUAAAUAUCUCGAGAGUGGACACGUUUAUCUUGGAGAGGCUUAAGAAGAAGGGCUACGAGGUGCUGUUUAUGGUUGAUGCAAUUGAUGAGUAUGCCGUUGGGCAGUUGAAGGAAUACGGUGGUAAGAUUUAUGAAAUUCAUCUUGGGAGAACAGGAAUCGAGUUGUCAUUGGAAAUAGGAGGGUAUGGCUAUAGUCACUUGAAUGUUUGUUUUUAUCGGACGGGGAGGGAAAGAUAGGGCCCAAGUUGUUUGACGAAAUGCCUGAAGGGAUUUUCUUAUCAUUGGUUGAUAUCCUUGGAAGUAGUAAGCGGUUUGCUACAUUAUGGGUUUUUCUUAUAGAAAUAAGAGAGUCUCGUUGUCUUGAGAUUAAUCCAAAAAUCUUAUGGGUUGUUUUUAAGGAUUAUAGUAGAGCUAAUCUUCCGAAAGAUGCGAUGCGAACAAAAACAGUUACUAUUGACCGGCCAAACCUCAUCUACAUUUACUUAUGUAGUUAAAGAAAUAGCAUUGAAGCUUGAUACAAGAGGUCUCGAAUCAUCUUCUACAUUUUUCAACGCUGGGAACGAGCUUUCCACAUCCCUAUUGUAUAAGCUCCUAGGCAUGGUCAACUUCGAUGGAUUCCAAAAGAAGGCUACGCUUGCUUUUAAUUUUAAAGAAAUGAUUAUGGUAGUUGCAGCUUCUCGAGCCAGCAUGGGUGGAUACAUUUCAUCUCAAUCUAUAAAGAAAAUCAACAAAUGGGCUUCCCAUGAGAUCUGUAAGGUGCCUGCAACUAUAGCAUAUGUCUUCUGUGCAUUUUUUGGCUUUCAAGUUCUAUUUGGCAUUAUAAAGGUUAAAAAACUUGAUGAACGGGAGAGGUUGGUAACAAGAACUACUUAAGCCACCGUACCGGUCUUGAGUGCAGACGCUGCUCAUAUGAAGUUUUAUGAUCACCCAAGUCAGCUAUCCAAUCAUCAGAAAAAUGCAAGAGCUUGAAGGAGGAUGUCAAGAGGGGUUCUUUACUCCCCCUUUUUCUGAGAAAAUGAGGGUGGGUCCCUUUACCCUCAGUAUAAGCAAGAGCGUAUGGGGAGAUUCGAACUUGUAUUUAUGUUAGCUAAACUGUUCCAUUUUUAUUUUGAGGUUUUACAAGAAUGAUCCCAAAAGGACUCUUAAGUCUAUCGCAAGUUGAUGCCUUUAAUCGCAAGUUGGUAGCCCAUAAAGGAUAUCUUUCAGCCCCUAUUGUAAUUUGUAACAAUUCUUCUUAUAUAACCAUCUGUCUUCUUCCUCACUAUCUUAAUUUGUAAUUUGUAACAAUUCUUCUUAAUUUUCUGUGCAUAACACGGGAAUGGGACAAGUGCUUGUAUUGUAAUAACCAAGGGAUUGAAGAACGUACAAACAUUUCUGCUUGUAUUGUAAUAAUAAGGGACUUGCUUACGAUGAUCAAA
Carya illinoinensis is the source of this 1709-nucleotide long non-coding RNA. RefSeq lists it as uncharacterized. The record is from RefSeq and is a predicted model, not a curated record. Lineage: Eukaryota; Viridiplantae; Streptophyta; Magnoliopsida; Fagales; Juglandaceae. The transcript is spliced from 3 exons.